UUGAAGACGGCAUAACGCGUCAGGUGAAAGACCUGGCAAUUCCUUGAUUGGCNNNNNNNNNNNNNNNNNNNNNNNNNNNNNNNNNNNNNNNNNNNNNNNNNNNNNNNNNNNNNNNNNNNNNNNNNNNNNNNNNNNNNNNNNNNNNNNNGUUGGCAAAUUAGCUUUGAUCCGGAGAUUUCCGAAUGGGGAAACCCACCGAAAGGUAUCGUUAUCUGAAUACAUAGGGUAACGAGGCGAACCGGGUGAACUGAAACAUCUCAGUAGCUCGAGGAAAAGACAUCAACCGAGAUUCCGAAAGUAGUGGCGAGCGAAAUCGGAGAAGCCUGUUAGUGAUAGCACAAGACAUAACGGAACAGCUUGGAAAGGCUGGCCAUAGCGGGUGAUAGCCCCGUACGUGAAAUGACCUGUGUGGUACUGAGCUAACGACAAGUAGGGCGGGACACGAGAAAUCCUGUCUGAAUAUGGGGGGACCAUCCUCCAAGGCUAAAUACUCAUCAUUGACCGAUAGUGAACUAGUACCGUGAGGGAAAGGCGAAAAGAACCCCGGGAGGGGAGUGAAAUAGAUCCUGAAACCGCGUGCUUACAAAAAGUAGGAGCCCGCAAGGGUGACUGCGUACCUUUUGUAUAAUGGGUCAGCGACUUACAUUCAGUGGCAAGGUUAACCGAAUAGGGAAGCCGUAGAGAAAUCGAGUCCGAAUAGGGCGAUCAGUCGCUGGGUGUAGACCCGAAACCAAGUGAUCUAUCCAUGGCCAGGAUGAAGGUGCCGUAACAGGUACUGGAGGUCCGAACCGACUAGUGUUGCAAAACUAGCGGAUGAGCUGUGGAUAGGGGUGAAAGGCUAAACAAACUUGGAAAUAGCUGGUUCUCUCCGAAAACUAUUUAGGUAGUGCCUCAAGUAUUACCUUCGGGGGUAGAGCACUGUUUUGGCUAGGGGGUCAUGGCGACUUACCAAACCAAGGCAAACUCCGAAUACCGAAGAGUACAGCUUGGGAGACAGAGCACCGGGUGCUAACGUCCGGACUCAAGAGGGAAACAACCCAGACCGCCAGCUAAGGUCCCUAAAAUUGGCUAAGUGGGAAACGAAGUGGGAAGGCUAAAACAGUCAGGAUGUUGGCUUAGAAGCAGCCAUCAUUUAAAGAAAGCGUAAUAGCUCACUGAUCGAGUCGUCCUGCGCGGAAGAUGUAACGGGGCUAAGCCAGUUACCGAAGCUGCGGAUUUGCAAUUUAUUGCAAGUGGUAGGAGAGCGUUCUGUAAGCCUGUGAAGGUGCGUUGUAAAGCGUGCUGGAGGUAUCAGAAGUGCGAAUGCUGACAUGAGUAGCGUUAAAGGGGGUGAAAAGCCCCCUCGCCGUAAGCGCAAGGUUUUCUACGCAACGUUCAUCGGCGUAGAGUGAGUCGGCCCCUAAGGCGAGGCAGAGAUGCGUAGCUGAUGGGAAACAGGUCAAUAUUCCUGUACCGAUUGUUAGUGCGAUGUGGGGACGGAUCUUAAUAGGUCAUCCGGGUGUUGGAUAUCCCGGUUUAGAUGGAUGUAGGCGUGCAUUAGGCAAAUCCGGUGCACAUAUACCGAGGCCAUCGAUCGAGCCAGCUUGCUGGUGAAGUGAUUGAACGAGGUUCCAGGAAAAGCCACUAAGCUUCAGCUAACAACGACCGUACCGCAAACCGACACUGGUGCGCGAGAUGAGUAUUCUAAGGCGCUUGAGAGAACUCAGGAGAAGGAACUCGGCAAAUUGACACCGUAACUUCGGAAGAAGGUGUGCCCUAUUAGUGUGAAGUGAACAACGGAGCAUGAACGGGUUGCAAAAAAUCGGUGGCUGCGACUGUUUAUUAAAAACACAGCACUCUGCAAACACGAAAGUGGACGUAUAGGGUGUGACGCCUGCCCGGUGCUGGAAGAUUAAAUGAUGGGGUGCAAGCUCUUGAUUGAAGUCCCAGUAAACGGCGGCCGUAACUAUAACGGUCCUAAGGUAGCGAAAUUCCUUGUCGGGUAAGUUCCGACCUGCACGAAUGGCGUAACGAUGGCCACACUGUCUCCUCCUGAGACUCAGCGAAGUUGAAAUGUUUGUGAUGAUGCAAUCUCCCCGCGGAAAGACGGAAAGACCCCAUGAACCUUUACUGUAGCUUUGUAUUGGACUUUGAACAGAUCUGUGUAGGAUAGGUGGGAGGCUUUGAAGCA
Molecule: ribosomal RNA, 2170 nt
Filed under: Variovorax guangxiensis
Lineage: Bacteria; Pseudomonadati; Pseudomonadota; Betaproteobacteria; Burkholderiales; Comamonadaceae
Description: 23S ribosomal RNA
Rfam family: Bacterial large subunit ribosomal RNA
Source: RNAcentral